This 540-nucleotide ribosomal RNA is filed under the name uncultured Enterobacter sp. RNAcentral describes it as "bacterial SSU rRNA". It matches the Rfam family "Bacterial small subunit ribosomal RNA", at positions 505 to 1041 of the family's 1533-position model. The record is from RNAcentral. Lineage: Bacteria; Pseudomonadati; Pseudomonadota; Gammaproteobacteria; Enterobacterales; Enterobacteriaceae.
GUGCAGCCGCAGCGGUAAUACGGAGGGUGACAAAGACGUUAAAUCGGAAUUACUGGGCGUAAAGCGCACGCAGGCGGUCUGUCAAGUCGGACGUGAAAUCCCCGGGCUCAACCUGGGAACUGCAUUCGAAACUGGCAGGCUAGAGUCUUGUAGAGGGGGGUAGAAUUCCAGGUGUAGCGGUGAAAUGCGUAGAGAUCUGGAGGAGUACCGGUGGCGAAGGCGGCCCCCUGGACAAAGACUGACGCUCAGGUGCGAAAGCGUGGGGAGCAAACAGGAUUAGAUACCCUGGUAGUCCACGCCGUAAACGAUGUCGACUUGGAGGUUGUGCCCUUGAGGCGUGGCUUCCGGAGCUAACGCGUUAAGUCGACCGCCUGGGGAGUACGGCCGCAAGGUUAAAACUCAAAUGAAUUGACGGGGGCCCGCACAAGCGGUGGAGCAUGUGGUUUAAUUCGAUGCAACGCGAAGAACCUUACCUACUCUUGACAUCCAGAGAACUUAGCAGAGAUGCUUUGGUGCCUUCGGGAACUCUGAGACAGGUGC